UUACGGACAAACGCCGCACUUCCUCAAAUUCAAACGCACUUUUACAAGUGUUUACGCGCAUUGAGGGGGUAAGGUCGGAGGAACUUCUUCGUGGCAUGCUCGUGAGGAGCGGAGGACGAAAGUCCUGCCGGGUGUACCAGAAAUUCGAUUUCAUGGGUUUGUCCUGUGAGAUCUUGAAACGCACCCGAGAAGAUGUCUUUUAGUGCAAUGUGCGGCACCUGACAAAAGUCAGGCAACUCGAUUCCGACUA
Molecule: RNase P RNA, 250 nt
Filed under: Schizosaccharomyces osmophilus
Lineage: Eukaryota; Fungi; Ascomycota; Schizosaccharomycetes; Schizosaccharomycetales; Schizosaccharomycetaceae
Description: K-RNA
Rfam family: Nuclear RNase P
About the family: Ribonuclease P (RNase P) is a ubiquitous endoribonuclease, found in archaea, bacteria and eukarya as well as chloroplasts and mitochondria.
Source: RNAcentral